GAUGAGCGCUGGCGGCGUGCCUAAUACAUGCAAGUCGAGCGAACGGACGAGAAGCUUGCUUCUCUGAUGUUAGCGGCGGACGGGUGAGUAACACGUGGAUAACCUACCUAUAAGACUGGGAUAACUUCGGGAAACCGGAGCUAAUACCGGAUAAUAUUUUGAACCGCAUGGUUCAAAAGUGAAAGACGGCCUUGCUGUCACUUAUAGAUGGAUCCGCGCUGCAUUAGCUAGUUGGUAAGGUAACGGCUUACCAAGGCAACGAUGCAUAGCCGACCUGAGAGGGUGAUCGGCCACACUGGAACUGAGACACGGUCCAGACUCCUACGGGAGGCAGCAGUAGGGAAUCUUCCGCAAUGGGCGAAAGCCUGACGGAGCAACGCCGCGUGAGUGAUGAAGGUCUUCGGAUCGUAAAACUCUGUUAUUAGGGAAGAACAUAUGUGUAAGUAACUGUGCACGUCUUGACGGUACCUAAUCAGAAAGCCACGGCUAACUACGUG
RNAcentral lists this ribosomal RNA (497 nucleotides) under uncultured bacterium. RNAcentral describes it as "partial 16S ribosomal RNA". It matches the Rfam family "Bacterial small subunit ribosomal RNA", at positions 28 to 507 of the family's 1533-position model. The record is from RNAcentral.